GAAGGUGUGCUGUGAGGCAUGCUGGAGGUAUCAGAAGUGCGAAUGCUGACAUAAGUAACGAUAAAGCGGGUGAAAAGCCCGCUCGCCGGAAGACCAAGGGUUCCUGUCCAACGUUAAUCGGGGCAGGGUGAGUCGACCCCUAAGGCGAGGCCGAAAGGCGUAGUCGAUGGGAAACAGGUUAAUAUUCCUGUACUUGGUGUUACUGCGAAGGGGGGACGGAGAAGGCUAUGUUGGCCGGGCGACGGUUGUCCCGGUUUAAGCGUGUAGGCUGGUUUUCCAGGCAAAUCCGGAAAAUCAAGGCUGAGGCGUGAUGACGAGGCACUACGGUGCUGAAGCAACAAAUGCCCUGCUUCCAGGAAAAGCCUCUAAGCAUCAGGUAACAUCAAAUCGUACCCCAAACCGACACAGGUGGUCAGGUAGAGAAUACCAAGGCGCUUGAGAGAACUCGGGUGAAGGAACUAGGCAAAAUGGUGCCGUAACU
This 481-nucleotide ribosomal RNA is filed under the name Escherichia coli. Its description in RNAcentral is "partial 23S ribosomal RNA". It matches the Rfam family "Bacterial large subunit ribosomal RNA", at positions 1252 to 1735 of the family's 2925-position model. The record is from RNAcentral. Lineage: Bacteria; Pseudomonadati; Pseudomonadota; Gammaproteobacteria; Enterobacterales; Enterobacteriaceae.